Molecule: ribosomal RNA, 494 nt
Filed under: uncultured bacterium
Lineage: Bacteria
Description: partial 16S ribosomal RNA
Rfam family: Bacterial small subunit ribosomal RNA
Source: RNAcentral
GACGAACGCUGGCGGCGUGCUUGACACAUGCAAGUCGAACGGAAAGGCCUGCUUUCCCUUGUGGAUUGCGGGUACUCGAGUGGCGAACGGGUGAGUAACACGUGAGUGAUCUGCCCCCAACUUGGGUAUAAGCCUGGGAAACUGGGUCUAAUUCCCGAUAGGACUGCAGGGUGGUGCCUGUGGUGGAAAACGAUUUUCUAGUGGUUGGGGAUGAGCUCGCGGCCUAUCAGCUUGUUGGUGGGGUAAUGGCCUACCAAGGCGGCGACGGGUAGCCGGCCUGAGAGGGUGGACGGCCACAUUGGGACUGAGAGACGGCCCAGACUCCUACGGGAGGCAGCAGUGGGGAAUAUUGCACAAUGGGCGGAAGCCUGAUGCAGCGACGCCGCGUGGGGGAUGACGGCCUUCGGGUUGUAAACUCCUUUCGACCGCGAGGAAGCCACCUGGUUGGAAGGGUGGUGACGGUAGUGGUAGAAGAAGCACCGGCUAACUACGUG